Microcebus murinus (gray mouse lemur) is the source of this 156-nucleotide non-coding RNA. The record is from RefSeq and is a predicted model, not a curated record. Lineage: Eukaryota; Metazoa; Chordata; Mammalia; Primates; Cheirogaleidae.
AUUGUCCUAAUAAUAAGCAGAAAUACAGAGCUUUUAAAAGAUAUGUUUGGAUACACAAAUACACUUGGUCUUCCAUAUCCGUGGGUUCUGUGUCUGUGGAUUCAACCAACGAGGGAUGGAAAGCUUUGAAAAAAAUAAAAUCGUGUUUGUACUGAA